AUGAACGCUGGCGGCGUGCCUUAAGCAUGCAAGUCGAACGGGAUUUUGGAGUCGCAAGAUUUUAAUUUUCAGUGGCGGACGGGUGAGUACAAGUAAGGAACGUACCCUAAACUAUCGCAUAGCUCGUCGAAAGACGGGGUAAUUCGGUAUGUGAUCGCAAGAUUAAAGAGCGUAACAACUCGGUUUUGGAGCGGCCUUAUGUCUAUCAGCUAGUUGGUGGGGUAAAAGCCUACCAAGGCGACGACGGAUAGGGGGUGUGAGAGCACGACCCCCCACAAUGGCACUGAGACACGGGCCAUACAUCUACGGAUGGCAGCAACUGGGAAUAUUCGGCAAUGGACGAAAGUCUGACCGAGCGACGCCGCGUGAGGGAUGAAGGUUUUCGGAUCGUAAACCUCUUUUGCCAAGCAGUCGAUGCUUGGAGAAUAAGCACCUACAAACUACGU
Molecule: ribosomal RNA, 446 nt
Filed under: uncultured bacterium
Lineage: Bacteria
Description: bacterial SSU rRNA
Rfam family: Bacterial small subunit ribosomal RNA
Source: RNAcentral